UACGGGGGGGGCAAGCGUUGUUCGGAAUUACUGGGCGUAAAGGGCCCGUAGGCGGCCAACUAAGUCAGACGUGAAAUCCCUCGGCUUAACCGGGGAACUGCGUCUGAUACUGGAUGGCUUGAGUUUGGGAGAGGGAUGCGGAAUUCCAGGUGUAGCGGUGAAAUGCGUAGAUAUCUGGAGGAACACCGGUGGCGAAGGCGGCAUCCUGGACCAACACUGACGCUGAGUGAGCGAAAGCCAGGGGAGCAAACGGG
This 254-nucleotide ribosomal RNA is filed under the name uncultured bacterium. Its description in RNAcentral is "partial 16S ribosomal RNA". It matches the Rfam family "Bacterial small subunit ribosomal RNA", at positions 524 to 776 of the family's 1533-position model. The record is from RNAcentral.